Molecule: ribosomal RNA, 801 nt
Filed under: Halomonas sp. LAR6P4
Lineage: Bacteria; Pseudomonadati; Pseudomonadota; Gammaproteobacteria; Oceanospirillales; Halomonadaceae
Description: bacterial SSU rRNA
Rfam family: Bacterial small subunit ribosomal RNA
Source: RNAcentral
GCCAUGCCGCGUGUGUGAAGAAGGCCCUCGGGUUGUAAAGCACUUUCAGUGAGGAAGAACGCCUGGUGGUUAAUACCCAUCAGGAAAGACAUCACUCACAGAAGAAGCACCGGCUAACUCCGUGCCAGCAGCCGCGGUAAUACGGAGGGUGCGAGCGUUAAUCGGAAUUACUGGGCGUAAAGCGCGCGUAGGUGGCUUGAUAAGCCGGUUGUGAAAGCCCCGGGCUCAACCUGGGAACGGCAUCCGGAACUGUCAAGCUAGAGUGCAGGAGAGGAAGGUAGAAUUCCCGGUGUAGCGGUGAAAUGCGUAGAGAUCGGGAGGAAUACCAGUGGCGAAGGCGGCCUUCUGGACUGACACUGACACUGAGGUGCGAAAGCGUGGGUAGCAAACAGGAUUAGAUACCCUGGUAGUCCACGCCGUAAACGAUGUCGACCAGCCGUUGGGUGCCUAGCGCACUUUGUGGCGAAGUUAACGCGAUAAGUCGACCGCCUGGGGAGUACGGCCGCAAGGUUAAAACUCAAAUGAAUUGACGGGGGCCCGCACAAGCGGUGGAGCAUGUGGUUUAAUUCGAUGCAACGCGAAGAACCUUACCUACUCUUGACAUCCUGCGAACUUGUGAGAGAUCACUUGGUGCCUUCGGGAACGCAGAGACAGGUGCUGCAUGGCUGUCGUCAGCUCGUGUUGUGAAAUGUUGGGUUAAGUCCCGUAACGAGCGCAACCCUUGUCCUUAUUUGCCAGCGCGUAAUGGCGGGAACUCUAAGGAGACUGCCGGUGACAAACCGGANGAAGGUGGGGACGACG